AUACGGAGGAUCCGAGCGUUAUCCGGAUUUAUUGGGUUUAAAGGGUGCGCAGGCGGGAGACUCAGUCGGUGGUGAAAUCUUGCAGCUCAACUGUAAGCGUGCCAUUGAUACUGGUUUUCUUGAGUGUGGAUGAAGUAGGCGGAAUUUGUGGUGUAGCGGUGAAAUGCAUAGAUAUCACGAGGAACUCCGAUUGCGUAGGCAGCUUACUAAACCAUAACUGACGCUCAUGCACGAAGGCGUGGGGAUCAAACAGGAUUAGAUACCCUGGUAGUCCACGCGGUAAACGAUGAUUACUGGCUGUUUGCGAUACACAGUAAGCGGCCCAGCGAAAGCGUUAAGUAAUCCACCUGGGGAGUACGUUCGCAAGAAUGAA
RNAcentral lists this ribosomal RNA (373 nucleotides) under uncultured bacterium. RNAcentral's name for it is "bacterial SSU rRNA". It matches the Rfam family "Bacterial small subunit ribosomal RNA", at positions 523 to 898 of the family's 1533-position model. The record is from RNAcentral.